CUUUCCCUGCUCAUGAUUACUCAGGUCUCAGACCUUCCUCCCCACCACUGGUGACAAAAAGAAGGAUUUGACUCUGCCCAGCUUGUUCCAAAUGCCAGGAGCCUCCCAUCAGGUACUCAAGUUUUCCGGUGACAUUAGCCCAAAUGGCAGUUCUCAGAACUCCAAGGGUGCGGAGUUUGUCACUUGACUUCUAUCUUCCCCGUCCCCCACCUUGCUCCUUGGUGAAUUGGGAAGGAGUGGAGGAAACUGCGGUUGUAGGCCAACAGAGGCUUGCCAAGUAGGCAGGGUAAAUUACCAUGACGUCAAAGUCAGAGAAGACUUGAAAAGCUCCCUUCCAGCCCCCUUCCCCCCCCCAAAAAAAAAGACAGGUCAGUACCUUCUCCCCAAGAAAAUGCUUGCUGGAUGGCUUCCUGCAUGCCUGCCCUCAAGGGAUGAAGGGCAGAAAUGGAGAGAAGAGAGAGCUGAGAACAGAACACAGCAGGAUUCAAGAUAUCAAGGCCUCCCCCAUUUCAUAAAGCCAACCAAAAAAAUGAUGAUUCUGGAUGCCCCAAGGCACCUACAACUUCCCCUCAUGGAUUUUAUGAAUGACAAGUUGAUAAACUCAAAAUACAAGUCUACAGAAACCUUUCUCAAUGAGGACAUCAAAGCAGAAAAUGUUAAGUACAGACUGCCAAUGAGGGCCAUCUGGGGUCCCAAAAAACCCUUACAGACACUAUAUACUGACCUUAUAACAUCCUCCAAGACUCCAACUUACAAAAAAGAAUCUCUUCCAGAUCCGAAGAAUACGUGGGCAGAAUUCAACAUCAACAAGAUUCCUAAGCACAGUAAAUACUACUGA
RNAcentral lists this long non-coding RNA (838 nucleotides) under Phascolarctos cinereus (koala). RNAcentral describes it as "lncRNA (ENSPCIG00000030029.2)". Lineage: Eukaryota; Metazoa; Chordata; Mammalia; Diprotodontia; Phascolarctidae. The record is from RNAcentral.